Molecule: transfer RNA, 74 nt
Filed under: Candidatus Aminicenantota bacterium
Lineage: Bacteria; Candidatus Aminicenantota
Description: tRNA-Arg
Rfam family: tRNA
About the family: Transfer RNA (tRNA) molecules are approximately 80 nucleotides in length. Their secondary structure includes four short double-helical elements and three loops (D, anti-codon, and T loops). Further hydrogen bonds mediate the characteristic L-shaped molecular structure. tRNAs have two regions of fundamental functional importance: the anti-codon, which is responsible for specific mRNA codon recognition, and the 3' end, to which the tRNAs corresponding amino acid is attached (by aminoacyl-tRNA synthetases). tRNAs cope with the degeneracy of the genetic code in two manners: having more than one tRNA (with a specific anti-codon) for a particular amino acid; and 'wobble' base-pairing, i.e. permitting non-standard base-pairing at the 3rd anti-codon position.
Source: RNAcentral
GCGCGAGUAGCUCAGUUGGAUAGAGCGCCUGACUACGAAUCAGAAGGUCGCAGGUUCAAGUCCUGUCUCGCGCG